This 253-nucleotide ribosomal RNA is filed under the name uncultured bacterium. Its description in RNAcentral is "partial 16S ribosomal RNA". It matches the Rfam family "Bacterial small subunit ribosomal RNA", at positions 524 to 776 of the family's 1533-position model. The record is from RNAcentral.
UACGAAGGGGGCUAGCGUUGCUCGGAAUCACUGGGCGUAAAGCGCACGUAGGCGGCUUGUUAAGUCAGGGGUGAAAUCCUGGAGCUCAACUCCAGAACUGCCUUCGAUACUGGAGAGCUCGAGUCCGGGAGAGGUGAGUGGAACUGCGAGUGUAGAGGUGAAAUUCGUAGAUAUUCGCAAGAACACCAGUGGCGAAGGCGGCUCACUGGCCCGGUACUGACGCUGAGGUGCGAAAGCGUGGGGAGCAAACAGG